This 359-nucleotide ribosomal RNA is filed under the name uncultured fungus. Its description in RNAcentral is "LSU rRNA". It matches the Rfam family "Eukaryotic large subunit ribosomal RNA", at positions 56 to 424 of the family's 3401-position model. The record is from RNAcentral. Lineage: Eukaryota; Fungi.
SRBCCAACAGGGAUUGCCCUAGUAACGGCGAGUGAAGCGGCAACAGCUCAAAUUUGAAAUCUGGCGCAAGCCCGAGUUGUAAUUUGUAGAGGAUGCUUCUGGGUAGCGGCCGGUCUAAGUUCCUUGGAACAGGACGUCAUAGAGGGUGAGAAUCCCGUAUGUGACUGGUUGGCGCCCUCCACGUAGCUCCUUCGACGAGUCGAGUUGUUUGGGAAUGCAGCUCUAAAUGGGUGGUAAAUUUCAUCUAAAGCUAAAUACCGGCCAGAGACCGAUAGCGCACAAGUAGAGUGAUCGAAAGAUGAAAAGCCCUUUGGAAAGAGAGUUAAAAAGCACGUGAAAUUGUUGAAAGGGAAGCGCUU